Molecule: small nuclear RNA, 104 nt
Filed under: Jaculus jaculus (lesser Egyptian jerboa)
Lineage: Eukaryota; Metazoa; Chordata; Mammalia; Rodentia; Dipodidae
Source: RNAcentral
GUGCUCACUUCGGCAGCACAUAUCCUAAAAUUGGAAAGAUACAGAGAUUAGCAUGGCCCCUGCACAAGGAUGACAUGCAAAUUCGUGAAGGAUUCCAUUUUUAA